Molecule: ribosomal RNA, 503 nt
Filed under: uncultured bacterium
Lineage: Bacteria
Description: partial 16S ribosomal RNA
Rfam family: Bacterial small subunit ribosomal RNA
Source: RNAcentral
AUUGAACGCUGGCGGCAGGCUUAACACAUGCAAGUCGAGCGGGGUGAUGGUGCUUGCACUAUCAUUAAGCGGCGGACGGGUGAGUAAUGCUUAGGAAUCUGCCUAUCAGUGGGGGUCAACAAGUCGAAAGGGAUGCUACUACCGCAUACGUCCUAGGGUGGAAAGCAGGGGACCAAUUGUGACCCUCAGCUAAUAGAGGAGCCUAAGUCGGAUUAACCAGUUGGUGGGGUAAAGGCCUACCAAGGCGACCAUCUGCAGCCGGUCGGAGAGGAUGGUCCGCCACACUGGGACUGAGACACGGCCCAGACUCCUACGGGAGGCAGCAGUGGGGAAUAUUGGACAAUGGGGGGAACCCUGAUCCAGCCAUGCCGCGUGUGUGAAGAAGGCCUUAUGGUUGUAAAGCACUUUAAGCGAGGAGGAGGCUCUUUUGGUUAAUACCCAAGAUGAGUGGACGUUACUCGCAGAAUAAGCACCGGCUAACUCUGUGCCAGCCGCCGCAGUAA